GUCUACAGCCAUGCCACCCUGCACGUGUCCAAUCUCAUCUGAUCUCGGAAGCUAAGCAGGGUCGGGCCUGUUUAGUACUUGGAUGGGAGACCACCUAGGAAUGCUGGGUGCUGUAGGUG
This 119-nucleotide ribosomal RNA is filed under the name Pteropus alecto (black flying fox). RNAcentral also lists the same sequence under 1 other name. The record is from RNAcentral. Lineage: Eukaryota; Metazoa; Chordata; Mammalia; Chiroptera; Pteropodidae.